GACGAACGCUGGCGGCGUGCUUAACACAUGCAAGUCGAACGAAGUGGCGAACGGGCGAGUAACGCGUAAUCAACCUGCCCUUCAGAGGGGGACAACAGUUGGAAACGACUGCUCAUACCGCAUACUGAAGGAGGGGAUUGCGUCUGAUUAGCGAUUUGGAGGGGUAACGGCCCACCAAGGCGAUGAUCAGUAGCCGGUCUGGGAAGGUGAACGGCCACAUUGGGACUGGACCACGGCCCAGACUCCUACGGGAGGCAGGCGUGGGGAAUCUUCCGCAAUGGAAGAAAGUCUGACGAGGCAACGCCGCGUGAGUGAUGACGGCCUUCGGGUUGUAAAGCUCUGUUAAUCGGGACGCGGUACCGGAAUAGAAAGCCACGGCUAACUACGUGCCAGCCGCCGCGGUAAUAC
RNAcentral lists this ribosomal RNA (408 nucleotides) under uncultured bacterium. RNAcentral's name for it is "partial 16S ribosomal RNA". It matches the Rfam family "Bacterial small subunit ribosomal RNA", at positions 28 to 526 of the family's 1533-position model. The record is from RNAcentral.